This 494-nucleotide ribosomal RNA is filed under the name uncultured bacterium. RNAcentral's name for it is "partial 16S ribosomal RNA". It matches the Rfam family "Bacterial small subunit ribosomal RNA", at positions 28 to 507 of the family's 1533-position model. The record is from RNAcentral.
GACGAACGCUGGCGGCGUGCUUAACACAUGCAAGUCGAACGGAAAGGCCUGCUUUCCCUUGUGGAUUGCGGGUACUCGAGUGGCGAACGGGUGAGUAACACGUGAGUGAUCUGCCCCCAACUUGGGUAUAAGCCUGGGAAACUGGGUCUAAUUCCCGAUAGGACUGCAGGGUGGUGCCUGUGGUGGAAAACGAUUUUCUAGUGGUUGGGGAUGAGCUCGCGGCCUAUCAGCUUGUUGGUGGGGUAAUGGCCUACCAAGGCGGCGACGGGUAGCCGGCCUGAGAGGGUGGACGGCCACAUUGGGACUGAGAUACGGCCCAGACUCCUACGGGAGGCAGCAGGGGGGAAUAUUGCACAAUGGGCGGAAGCCUGAUGCAGCGACGCCGCGGGGGGGAUGACGGCCUUCGGGUGGUAAACUCCUUUCGACCGCGAGGAAGCCACCUGGUUGGAAGGGUGGUGACGGUAGUGGUAGAAGAAGCACCGGCUAACUACGUG